This 72-nucleotide transfer RNA is filed under the name Bos taurus (domestic cattle). It matches the Rfam family "tRNA". From Rfam's summary of the family: Transfer RNA (tRNA) molecules are approximately 80 nucleotides in length. Their secondary structure includes four short double-helical elements and three loops (D, anti-codon, and T loops). The record is from Rfam by way of RNAcentral. Lineage: Eukaryota; Metazoa; Chordata; Mammalia; Artiodactyla; Bovidae. RNAcentral also lists the same sequence under 2 other names.
UCCCUGGUGGCUCAGAUGGUAAAGCGUCUGCCUACAAUGCAGAAGACCCGGGUUCGAUCCCUGGCUCAGGAA